RNAcentral lists this ribosomal RNA (440 nucleotides) under uncultured bacterium. RNAcentral's name for it is "partial 16S ribosomal RNA". It matches the Rfam family "Bacterial small subunit ribosomal RNA", at positions 338 to 795 of the family's 1533-position model. The record is from RNAcentral.
CCUACGGGGGGCAGCAGUAGGGAAUAUUGCUCAAUGGGGGAAACCCUGAAGCAGCAACGCCGCGUGAAGGAUGAAGGUUUUAGGAUUGUAAACUCCUUUUGUUAGAGAAGAUUAUGACGGUAUCUAACGAAUAAGCACCGGCUAACUCCGUGCCAGCAGCCGCGGUAAUACGGAGGGUGCAAGCGUUACUCGGAAUCACUGGUCGUAAAGAGUGCGUAGGCGGGGUAAUAAGUCAGAUGUGAAAUCCUGUAGCUUAACUACAGAACUGCAUUUGAAACUGUUACUCUGGAGUGUGGGAGAGGUAGGUGGAAUUCUUGGUGUAGGGGUAAAAUGCGUAGAGAUCAAGAGGAAUACUCAUUGCGAAGGCGACCUGCUGGAACAUUACUGACGCUGAUGCACGAAAGCGUGGGGAGCAAACAGGAUUAGAUACCCUUGUAGUC